RNAcentral lists this ribosomal RNA (492 nucleotides) under uncultured bacterium. RNAcentral describes it as "partial 16S ribosomal RNA". It matches the Rfam family "Bacterial small subunit ribosomal RNA", at positions 29 to 507 of the family's 1533-position model. The record is from RNAcentral.
AGUGAACGCUGGCGGUAGGCCUAACACAUGCAAGUCGAACGGCAGCACAGUAAGAGCUUGCUCUUACGGGUGGCGAGUGGCGGACGGGUGAGGAAUACAUCGGAAUCUACUUUUACGGGGGGGAUAACGUAGGGAAACUUACGCUAAUACCGCAUACGACCUACGGGUGAAAGCAGGGGAGCUUCGGACCUUGCGCGAGUGAAUGAGCCGAUGUCGGAUUAGCUAGUUGGCGGGGUAAAGGCCCACCAAGGCGACGAUCCGUAGCUGGUCUGAGAGGAUGAUCAGCCACACUGGAACUGAGACACGGUCCAGACUCCUACGGGAGGCAGCAGUGCGGAAUAUUGGACAAUGGGCGCAAGCCUGAUCCAGCCAUACCGCGUGGGUGAAGAAGGCCUUCGGGUUGUAAAGCCCUUUUGUUGGGAAAGAAAAGCAGCAGGUUAAUACCCCGCUGUUCUGACGGUACCCAAAGAAUAAGCACCGGCUAACUUCGUG